AGGGCAAGUCUGGUGCCAGCAGCCGCGGUAAUUCCAGCUCCAAUAGCGUAUAUUAAAGUUGUUGCAGUUAAAAAGCUCGUAGUUGAAUUUCGGGGUUCUACCGUUGGUCGGGCUUUGUCUGUACUGGCGUGUAGAAUUUCUACCUUCUGGGGAACCAUUAUGUUAUUAAUUUAGCGUAGUGGGAAACCAGGACCUUUACCUUGAAAAAAUUAGAGUGUUCAAAGCAGGCUUAUGUCUGAAUACAUUAGCAUGGAAUAAUAGAAUAGGACGGUGGUCCUGUUUUGUUGGUUUCUGAAUCACCGUAAUGAUUAAUAGGGAUAGUUGGGGGCAUUAGUAUUCAAUUGUCAGAGGUGAAAUUCUUGGAUUUAUUGAAGACUAACUUCUGCGAAAGCAUUUGCCAAGGAUGUUUUCAUUAAUCAAGAACGAAAGUUAGGGGAUCGAAGACGAUCAGAUACCGUCGUAGUCUUAACCAUAAACUAUGCCGACUAGGGAUCGAACGAUGUUAAUUUUUCUUGACUCGUUCGGCGCCUUACGGGAA
Molecule: ribosomal RNA, 538 nt
Filed under: uncultured Glomeromycotina
Lineage: Eukaryota; Fungi; Glomeromycota
Description: SSU rRNA
Rfam family: Eukaryotic small subunit ribosomal RNA
Source: RNAcentral